GGAGCUGUAGAUGGGACGGCCGAGGCUGUCUGUGGUCCACAGACCGCCCCGCGGGUGCCUGCCCUCCUGGCAAACUCCAACUGACGUACCACUGUAUGCUGCUCAUGGAUGCAUGACUGAAUGCUGAGAUGCUGUUAGCAGAGAUACGAGCUGUGGCAUGGAGGGAGAAGAGAAAGGUGAAGAUGAAGUCAGUACCUGGAGGUGGCUGAGCACGAUCCACGCUGCAGGAAGUUGGGAGACGAAACUGAAUCCCUGCAAGGAGGAAGCAGCAGCAGUUACCAUGAGGACACAGGUAUUUCUCACAUCACAUGACAUGUACGUUGAAAUUACCUACGGCUUCGUACAGAUAUGAGAUAUUUCUUAUUUACACGGGGUAUCAGGAUUCUGUGAGAUGAGAGAGAAACACAACUACGAAGACUUCAGAUUUACACAUACUUUUUUUGUUUGAUUUGCUUUUUAAUUUUUAUUUAAUUGACUCGAAAAAAGUCUGUCAGAAUUUGUGUUUCUGUCUCAAAUGCAGAAAUUCUAAUGCAGUUAACACCAACUACAAAUCGAUGGGCAAGGUUCAAAGCCAAAUCUUCUAAAAAUGUUCCACAGAUAUAUUAGUUAUUCUCCAUGAACAUUUUAGUAGACAAUGAAAGUCUCUUCACAUUUAAGUGUACGCCAAGUUUGUUUGUUUUUUUAUGAAAAUUGCCCAUCUACAGUUUCCUAAUGAAUAACAGUAAACAUGUAAAAUACUUAUUUCUGUUCGCUCAGUAAAUGAGUCAGCAUUGCAUAAAAACAUACAUAACAGGGAAAAAACAUGCACUGGCUGAGUUGGAAAACAGACACUUUAUCAUAAUAACAUGGUUAUCUCAUUCAGACCACAAUUUUUUUAAUUUUCUUUUUCAAAUUUAAGAUUCAAAUUGAUUUAAGUUUUUGUGGUAGACUCUUUUUUUUGGACUUGGAUCAUUUAUCAUACAGAACUUUUUUUUUUCCCCCCCAUCAGUACAGUGUCUGUUUUUUAGGGGAAUAAUUGAGUAUAGCAAGUCUUGAAAAAUAAGUGAAACUUUUUAGAGUUAAAAACAUAGUCUGUAAUAUUUUAAACUUCAGGAAUCAAGAUUUGACAUGUACAAAUAAAUUUUAUAUAAAAUCAGACAAAUGAGCUGAAAUAAGUGGACAAAGAUGUUUGUAAAGUAGAACAGUCUAUAUCCAAUCUUGUUUGUCAUCUUUCAUCCAUAUCCACAUAGUUUUGACAUUUUUAAUUUGGAAUUUGGAGUUCAAGUUGUACUUUUUAUAAAGUUAAUAUCCAGACGUGCAGUUACACUCUCUGAUACGUUGGCCAGUGACCUCAUUGUUUGUCAGAUUUGUAUUAUUGUUUCCCACAACAUUGUCAUUUGAUUGUCUUCACUCAAUACCUGAUUAAAGCACUGGGACCUC
Long non-coding RNA from Cynoglossus semilaevis (tongue sole), 1419 nucleotides. RefSeq lists it as uncharacterized. The transcript has 2 exons. NCBI's taxonomy places the organism in Eukaryota, Metazoa, Chordata, Actinopteri, Pleuronectiformes, Cynoglossidae. The record is from RefSeq and is a predicted model, not a curated record.